GCCCCAAAAUCCCGGGAUUUCACCCCAGAAUUCACUUGAGGAUCUCACCCUGGUUGAAGGGUUUGAAAUCCCAGAAUCUGAGCCCCAAAAUCCCGGGAUUUGACCCCAAAUCAUUUGAAGAUCUUGCCCUGGUUGAAGGCCCCAAAAUCCCGGGAUCUGAGCCCCAAAAUCCCGGGAUUUCAGCCCCAAAAUCUCAGGAUUUCACCCCAAAUUCACUUGAAGAUCUUGCCCUGGUUGAAGGGU
Long non-coding RNA from Oenanthe melanoleuca, 243 nucleotides. RefSeq lists it as uncharacterized. Lineage: Eukaryota; Metazoa; Chordata; Aves; Passeriformes; Muscicapidae. The transcript is spliced from 2 exons. The record is from RefSeq and is a predicted model, not a curated record.